GGUCUCAGUUCGGACUGAAGGCUGAAAUUCGCCUUCACGAAGUCGGAAUUGCUAGUAAUGGCAGGUCAGCAUACUGCCGUGAAUACGUUCCCGGGCCUUGUACACACCGCCCGUCACACCAUGAGAGUUAGGAAUACCCGAAGCCUGUGAGCUAACUUUUAGAGGCAGCAGUCGAAGGUAGAACUAAUGAUUGGGGUGAAGUCGUAACAAGGUACC
RNAcentral lists this ribosomal RNA (216 nucleotides) under uncultured bacterium. RNAcentral's name for it is "partial 16S ribosomal RNA". It matches the Rfam family "Bacterial small subunit ribosomal RNA", at positions 1284 to 1500 of the family's 1533-position model. The record is from RNAcentral.